UGCGUAUCCGACCGGGUUAGACGUUCCAUUAUGAGUUUAUUAUUAUUAAGGCUAUAUGCAUGAUAGGGUAAUGUCCGUUUAAUCUGAAGAUUUUAUAUGCUUCUUUAUCAUAUUUAUUACCUUGAUCCUCGUAUUGUAUUUAAAGUUUGUUUGAGACUCUUACUUCCAUCAUGUGCAUAUGUUAUGAGUGGUUGUGUACUAGUACAAUGUGAGAUAUGGUUUUGUNNNNNNNNNNNNNNNNNNNNNNNNNNNNNNNNNNNNNNNNNNNNNNNNNNNNNNNNNNNNNNNNNNNNNNNNNNNNNNNNNNNNNNNNNNNNNNNNNNNNNNNNNNNNNNNNNNNNNNNNNNNNNNNNNNNNNNNNNNNNNNNNNNNNNNNNNNNNNNNNNNNNNNNNNNNNNNNNUUGACGAAUUAAUUAUUUGAGUACAUAUAAGCACAAUCCUAGAUUAUGAUGAAGGAAUUUAAUCGGAUGGGUGUAAACAUUAAAAGAUAUAUGCGGUAUAAGUAGCGUAGCACCCUAUUCUUGCUUCACUGUUUUAUUUUAAAACGAACAUGUUAGCAGUAUGGGUGUUACAUGGUGGUAUCAGAGACCGGUUGUCUUCUGCAUUAUAGGUAUGCUACUUUCUCUCUUGGGGCGUCGCGAACCUCAAAAGAGUGGAGGUAUUCCAUACCCGUAUUUGUGAUGCAUUGUCCGUUGCACAUAGACAUCAUGAUUUGGAAUGGAUUUCUAAAAGUGAUUUUGAAAUUAAAGAGUCUUUGAAAGAGGAUCACUAAAGACCAUUCUUCUUAUAGUGUGCACCAGAUUCUUAAUCAAGGUGGAGGCAUUCAUAUGAACCCACCUCGAGCAGUGUUAGAUUAUAAGAGGAUGAAAGGUUAUGGAGGGAGGGAAUUUGAUGGGGAAAGCACAGAUCCACAAGUAGCUGUUGAUUGGAUUCGUGACAUGAACGCGGUGUUUGACCAGCUGGAAGCCACAUCGGAUGAGCGGCUUCGCUACUGUGUUUUCUUGCUUCGAGGGCAUGCUAGGACUUGGUGGGAGGCCACAACAGUGUAUGAAGAAGAUCCCUUCAGUUUGGGAUGGGAGGAGUUCCAAAUAAGAUUCGAUGCAGAAUUUAUCACUGAUCAGUGGAAAGAGAAAAAGGCGAUGGAAUUAAUGUCACUGAAGCAGGGAGAUAUGACAGUCCAGAAGUAUCAUAUCGAAUUUACUCGAUUAUCCAGAUGGCACCCUACCAUUGCAUCCGAGCGAAACACAAUUCUGAAGAAGCAUUUUCUGGCAGGGUUCCGAACAAAUAUUCAAAAAGAGAUCUCCAGUUCUGACAUGGCCAGCUGGAAGGAUAUUAAACAAGCUGCUCUAAGGGCCGAAUAUCUAGACAACAAGGGAAAGAAGGAAUGGGAAGAAAAUAAGGAGGAUCUAAAAAGAAAAGCGGUAAGUCAGAAUGUGAGCUACUCUAGACAGGGACCGAUGGCAAAACGGGGACCAACUAGAAUGUCUUAUCAAAGACCUGUUCAUAAUGUGUCACGACAGCAGACAUCAUACACACAAGCGCCAACACUAAUUUGUCAGCAUUGUGGGAGGAGGCAUUUUGGGACAUGCAGAAUAUUGACAAGGGGUUUUUGUAGAUGCGGGGAUCAGAGACAUCGACUCAAUAACUGUCCGUUGGUGGUUAAUCAAGCCCAAUCUGAGGUAUUGGUUCAGCAGAGUAAUAGAGCUUCAUCUGGCAGCGGGUUUAGAGGGAACCGAAAUAAUAGCUAUCAGGGGAGUAUGGGAUUCCAAGGAGGAAGAGGUACGGGAGCAAAUUCACGACCACUUGGUAGUCAAUCUCAACCCUCUGGUAAUUAACAAUCGGGAGGACAAGCGUAGGGCAGAGUAUAUGCCAUGAGUCGAGAGCAGGCUGAGUGUGCAACAGACGCGGUUAUGGGGGGGCUCUCGAUCCCUUGGGGGAGCACAUCUGUCCUCCAUGUGUUUUGUGUUAUGGGUACGCUCUCUAUCCUUGGACGUACCUUAUAUGCCUUAUUUGAUACUGGUUCCACACAUUCUUUCAUUUUCUGUCAAUUUGCACUAUUACUAAAAGUGGUACCUGAGGAGUUGGGGUAUAGUUUUGAGGUUAGAACUCCGGUGGGGAAAGUUGUGGAGAUAAAAUCAGUUAUUCGGAACAUUUUCUUAAACGUUGAAGGAGUUCCGCUAUCAGCAAAUUUAAUGUUGCUACCAUUUGACGAGUUUGAUGUAAUCCUCGGAAUGGACUGGUUAACUCAACAUGGGGCGGUGCUGAAUUGUCGAAGGAACGAAGUUAAGAUUAAACUUCCUGGAAAGAGGAAAAUUUUAUUUAAAGGCAUACAGAGAAAGGUACAUGAAAAGUCCCCAUUCUUGUAAGCUAUUCAAGCUUCCAAGCUUAUUCAGAAUGGAUGUGAAGGAUACCUUGGCCACGGCGAAGCAUACCUUACCCAUGUGACUGUGGAAAACACUGAGAAAAUUGAAGAGGUAGCUGUAGUAAGGGGAUUUUUGGAUGUAUUUCCUGAAGAAUUUCCAGGACUUCCUCCUGAAAGAGAGGUUGAUUUUGAUAUCGAGUUUGAACUGCACCCAUUUCGAUAGCACCAUAUAGAAUGGCACCAGUGGAGUUGGCGGAGCUGAAAAAGCAAUUACAGGAGCUCUUGGACAAAGGUUUCAUAAGACCGAGCGUCUCACCUUGGGGAGCACCCGUUUUGUUUGGAAAGAAGAAGGAUGGAUCAAUGAGGAUGUGUAUAGAUUAUCGUCGUCUAAACCAAGUGACAAUCAAGAAUCAGUAUCCUUUACCUAGGAUUGAUGACCUAUUUGACCAGCUUCAAGGUGCAUCGGUAUUUUCCAAGAUCGAUCUUAGAUCCGGCUACCAUCAACUGAGGGUUUCUGAAUUAGCCAUUCCUAAAAAAGCAUUUCGUACUUGUUAUGGACACUAUGAGUACUUAGUGAUGCCAUUUGGAUUGACUAAUGCACCAGCAACAUUUAUGGCACUCAUGAACAAGGUGUUCCAUGAAUUUCUUGACAAAUUUGUGAUAGUAUUUAUUGACGACAUCCUGAUAUACUCAAAAAGUGAAGAGGAGCAUGCAGAGCACCUUAGGAUGGUAUUGAAUCUCCUUAGGGAGAAGUAGUUAUAUGGUAAAUUUUCAAAGUGUGCCUUUGGGCUGAAGGAAGUUUUAUUCCUGGGUCACUUGAUAUCUGGAAAAGGGUUAGAGGUGGACCCAAGAAAGAUUGAAGCUGUGGUUAAGUGGGAGCCACCCCUCAAUGUGUCAGAACUACGGAGCUUCCUAGGUAUGGCUGGAUAUUAUCGAAGGUUUGUUGAGGGAUUCUCUAAAAUUGCUAUGCCUUUGACGAAGCUCCUGAGAAAGGGUACGACUUAUAGUUGGGAUAAGAAGUGCCAAGACAUGUUGGGAUAAGAAAUGCCAAGAUAGUUUUUAGAAGUUAAAGACUAGACUCACUACCACACCGGUACUCACUUUACCCACUUCUGGGGGUGAAUAUGUGGUGUAUAGUGACGCAUCCCAUCAGGGGUUGGGAUGUGUACUAAUGCAGGAUGGAAAAGUAAUUGCUUAUGCAUCAAGGAAACUACGACUCCAUGAGGUUAACUAUCCCACUCAUGAUCUUGAGUUAGCAGCAGUAGUUCAUGCCUUGAAAACGUGGCGUCACUACCUAUACGGUGAAACAUUUAAGAUUAUGACAGAUCAUAAGAGUUUGAAAUAUCUUAUGGAUCAGAAGGAACUAAAUAACCGGCAGAGGAGGUGGAUGGAGUUACUAAAGGAUUAUGAUUUUACCAUUGAUUACCAUCCUGGCAAAGCUAAUGUUGUGGCAGAUGCAUUGAGUAGAAAGGAGCGACUUCCAAAGUUGGUAGAUCUUCGAGCCUUAAGAGUGGACUUGGAAAUGGAUGAGAUGAAAACGUUGAUGGCUCGUUUGACUAUCAGACCUUUACUUCAUGAUCAAAUAAAAGAGAGGCAAAAAGAAGAUCCAAAACUUCAGAAGAUCAUGAACGAGAUAAAGGAGGGACAUGAAAGCGAGUUUGAGAUCUCGGACGGCUUGCUGAAGAUAAAGGGUAAGACCCGAGCUUCACCUCACAUUUUUGGAAAAGUUUGCAUUAGGCUUUGGGGACAAGAUUGAACUUUUCUAUGGCAUAUCAUCCACAGACUAAUGGACAAACAGAGAGAACUAUACUCACGUUGGAGGAGGUUUUGCAAACCUGUGUAAAUGAGUUUGAUAGACCUUGGACAAAGUUGUUACUAUUGAUAGAGUUUGCUUAUAAUAACUCUUACCAUAGUAGUCUGGGUACAGCUCCGUAUGAGGCAUUGUACGGACGAAAGUGUAGAACUCCGUUGUGUUGGGAUGAAGAGGGAGAAAGACAAAUAACUGGGCCAGAGUUAGUUCAGGAAAUAUCUGAUAAGGUUUCAGGAAAAACUCAGAGUGGCUCAGGAUCGUCAGAAGCAGUAUGCAGAUCGUCGAACUCGUGAUAUCAGUUAUGAGGUCGGGGAAAAGGUUUUUCUUAAGGUAUCUCCUUGGAAAGGUCUAAUGUGAUUUAGGAGAAAAGGAAAGCUAGCUUCGAGGUAUAUUGGACCUUAUGACAUUAUAGGUAAAGUAGGACCAGUUGCUUAUGCCCUUGCUUUACUAACCGAACUGGAUAGAAUCCAUAACGUGUUUCAUGUGAGUCUGCUUAAAAAGUAUCAUGUGGAUCCAUCUCAUAUUGUCCAACCGGAGGAGGUAGAGUUGGAGGGAGAUUUAUCAUAUCAGGAAAUGCCAGUUCAGAUUGUAGAUUCGCAAGUUCGAUCCUUGCGAAAUAAGCAGAUCCCUAUGUUGAAAGUGGUAUGGAGAAAUCAGGAGAGUGAGUCUACUACAUGGGAGACAGAAGCAAGUAUGCGAGAGAAGUACCCUGAGCUAGUAGAGGCUUACUUAUCAGGUUAAGUUAUUACUAGUUUCUUCAUUGACAUGUUGUGAUCACUUAGCGUAGGUUAUAUACUUAAAAUUUGGAAGACCGUACAUGUUACGUGUUACUUGUGAAUGAAGGAAUAGUAAAUAGUUAUAUUCUAAACAAGCUAGUAGAGAGAUUAGGACCUAGAUUUCGAGGACGAAAUAUCUUAAGAGGGGAGGAAUUGUAACAUUCCGACCCGAUGUACCAAAAGUACCAACUAAAUUAAUGUGGUACGUGGUAAUGUACAGAUACAGAAAAUAAUUUCCAUACAGAUAUGGAUAUGUAUGCAACAUUCCGGCCCGAUCGUAAAGAAACACCGACCAAAUUAAUUUGGAACAAGCUAUGGUCCAGGUUCAUGAUAAGCAUGGAUCCUUAUGCACUUGUACGUAGUACACCUUAUAUAAUUAAUUGAUCAUAUUUCAUGCAUAUCAAUUAUCACCAUCACUAGAUGGACGUGGCAAGUUUUGGGGGAGGGUUUUUCAUAUUGCAUGCAUGGAGAAUGUUUUUCACAGAGUGUAAGAAGUGACUAGAUUCCUAAAUAUCUAUGCUGCUACUAAUGGACAAAGUAAAUUGGGAAGAAUGGACAUAUUAGGGAGUUUAGUUUUGGAGGCAGGUACAAGUAGUGGUAUGCCCCCAUUUCCACUAUAUAAAAGGGGUUAAGGUAUUCAGCUUCAUACAGGGAAAUACAGGGAUAGCUUGCACUAAAACAAAUGCGAUACUCAGAAAAAGCUAGUACUUGGUUUGUUAUAACAAUCUUUGGAAUUACGUUAUCGACUCAGAAGCCUAUAUUGGUAAUCUCAAGAAUUAUUUCCGGUGAGGGUCUCCUGCGUAUCUGACCGGGUUAGACGUUCCAUUAUGAGUUUAUUAUUAUUAAGGCUAUAUGCAUGAUAGGGUAAUGUCCGUUUAAUCUUAAGAUUUUAUAUGCUUCUUUACCAUAUUUAUUACUUAAUAUGAUACAUGUUCUGUUACUUUGCUGAUAUAUCUGAUUUAAUAUAAGUGUUAAUAUGAGCUGUAGCUAUUAUUGAUUAUUGAAUAAAUCUGGUAAUUGAUUGAUCACCUAGCUAGGGCCC
RNAcentral lists this long non-coding RNA (5990 nucleotides) under Linum usitatissimum (flax). Its description in RNAcentral is "long non-coding RNA (LUSI_LNC006829)". Lineage: Eukaryota; Viridiplantae; Streptophyta; Magnoliopsida; Malpighiales; Linaceae. The record is from RNAcentral.